Molecule: ribosomal RNA, 457 nt
Filed under: Pantoea sp.
Lineage: Bacteria; Pseudomonadati; Pseudomonadota; Gammaproteobacteria; Enterobacterales; Erwiniaceae
Description: bacterial SSU rRNA
Rfam family: Bacterial small subunit ribosomal RNA
Source: RNAcentral
UUCCUACGGGGGGCAGCAGUGGGGAAUAUUGCACAAUGGGCGCAAGCCUGAUGCAGCCAUGCCGCGUGUAUGAAGAAGGCCUUCGGGUUGUAAAGUACUUUCAGCGGGGAGGAAGGCGAUGGGGUUAAUAACCCUGUCGAUUGACGUUACCCGCAGAAGAAGCACCGGCUAACUCCGUGCCAGCAGCCGCGGUAAUACGGAGGGUGCAAGCGUUAAUCGGAAUUACUGGGCGUAAAGCGCACGCAGGCGGUCUGUUAAGUCAGAUGUGAAAUCCCCGGGCUUAACCUGGGAACUGCAUUUGAAACUGGCAGGCUUGAGUCUUGUAGAGGGGGGUAGAAUUCCAGGUGUAGCGGUGAAAUGCGUAGAGAUCUGGAGGAAUACCGGUGGCGAAGGCGGCCCCCUGGACAAAGACUGACGCUCAGGUGCGAAAGCGUGGGGAGCAAACAGGAUUAGAUAC